Molecule: ribosomal RNA, 449 nt
Filed under: uncultured bacterium
Lineage: Bacteria
Description: partial 16S ribosomal RNA
Rfam family: Bacterial small subunit ribosomal RNA
Source: RNAcentral
GACGAACGCUGGCGGCAUGCCUAACACAUGCAAGUCGAACGAGAUCUUCGGGUCUAGUGGCGCACGGGUGCGUAACGCGUGGGAAUCUGCCCUUUGGUUCGGAAUAACAGAUGGAAACGACUGCUAAUACCGGAUGAUGACGAAAGUCCAAAGAUUUAUCGCCAGAGGAUGAGCCCGCAUAGGAUUAGCUAGUUGGUGUGGUAAAGGCGCACCAAGGCGACGAUCCUUAGCUGGUCUGAGAGGAUGAUCAGCCACACUGGGACUGAGACACGGCCCAGACUCCUACGGGAGGCAGCAGUGGGGAAUAUUGGACAAUGGGCGAAAGCCUGAUCCAGCAAUGCCGCGUGAGUGAUGAAGGCCUUAGGGUUGUAAAGCUCUUUUACCCGGGAUGAUAAUGACAGUACCGGGAGAAUAAGCUCCGGCUAACUCCGUGCCAGCCGCCGCGGUAA